This 253-nucleotide ribosomal RNA is filed under the name uncultured bacterium. RNAcentral describes it as "partial 16S ribosomal RNA". It matches the Rfam family "Bacterial small subunit ribosomal RNA", at positions 524 to 776 of the family's 1533-position model. The record is from RNAcentral.
UACGUAGGGGGCGAGCGUUGUCCGGAAUUAUUGGGCGUAAAGAGCGUGUAGGCGGCUUUACAGGUCCGUUGUGAAAACUCGAGGCUCAACCUCGAGACGCCGGUGGAAACCGUAAGGCUAGAGUCCGGAAGAGGAGAGUGGAAUUCCUGGUGUAGCGGUGAAAUGCGCAGAUAUCAGGAGGAACACCCGUGGCGAAAGCGGCUCUCUGGGACGGUACUGACGCUGAGACGCGAAAGCGUGGGGAGCAAACAGG